RNAcentral lists this ribosomal RNA (172 nucleotides) under uncultured bacterium. Its description in RNAcentral is "partial 16S ribosomal RNA". It matches the Rfam family "Bacterial small subunit ribosomal RNA", at positions 1326 to 1500 of the family's 1533-position model. The record is from RNAcentral.
CUGGAAUUGCUGUAAUGGCAGGUCAGCAUACUGCCGUGAAUACGUUCCCGGGCCUUGUACACACCGCCCGUCACACCAUGAGAGUUGGGAAUACCCGAAGCCUGUGAGCUAACAUAUGAGGCAGCAGUCGAAGGUAGAAUCAAUGAUUGGGGUGAAGUCGUAACAAGGUAGC